AACGCACAUUGCGCCCGGCAGCAAUCUGCCGGGCAUGCCUGUCCGAGCGUCAUUUCUUCCCUCGAGCGCGGUUCGGCCCCCAGGGGCCUGCCGCCGCCCGGUGUUGGGGAUCUGCGGGCGUGAAAGCCCGCAGGCCCUUAAAUGAAGUGGCGGUCCCGCCGCGGCGCCCCCUGCGUAGUAGUAAAGCACCUCGCAUCGGGUCCCGGCGUAGGCCAGCCGUCGAACCUAUUACUUUGAUGGUUUGACCUCGGAUCAGGUAGGGAUACCCGCUGAACUUAA
Molecule: unclassified non-coding RNA, 279 nt
Filed under: uncultured fungus
Lineage: Eukaryota; Fungi
Description: partial contains 5.8S ribosomal RNA, internal transcribed spacer 2, and large subunit ribosomal RNA
Source: RNAcentral